AUUUAUGUGUUUACCAGCUGAA
This 22-nucleotide non-coding RNA is filed under the name Arabidopsis thaliana (thale cress). Lineage: Eukaryota; Viridiplantae; Streptophyta; Magnoliopsida; Brassicales; Brassicaceae. The record is from RNAcentral.